RNAcentral lists this ribosomal RNA (1110 nucleotides) under uncultured cyanobacterium. RNAcentral describes it as "bacterial SSU rRNA". It matches the Rfam family "Bacterial small subunit ribosomal RNA", at positions 389 to 1514 of the family's 1533-position model. Lineage: Bacteria; Bacillati; Cyanobacteriota. The record is from RNAcentral.
GAGCACGCCGCGUGAGGGAUGAAGGCCUCUGGGCUGUAAACCUCUUUUCUCAAGGAAGAAGAUCUGACGGUACUUGAGGAAUAAGCCACGGCUAAUUCCGUGCCAGCAGCCGCGGUAAUACGGGAGUGGCAAGCGUUAUCCGGAAUUAUUGGGCGUAAAGCGUCCGCAGGCGGCCUCGAAAGUCUGUCGUUAAAGCGUGGAGCUUAACUCCAUUUAAGCGGUGGAAACUACGAGGCUAGAGUGUGGUAGGGGCAGAGGGAAUUCCCGGUGUAGCGGUGAAAUGCGUAGAUAUCGGGAAGAACACCAGUGGCGAAGGCGCUCUGCUGGGCCAUAACUGACGCUCAUGGACGAAAGCCAGGGGAGCGAAAGGGAUUAGAUACCCCUGUAGUCCUGGCCGUAAACGAUGAACACUAGGUGUCGGGGGAAUCGACCCCCUCGGUGUCGUAGCUAACGCGUUAAGUGUUCCGCCUGGGGAGUACGCACGCAAGUGUGAAACUCAAAGGAAUUGACGGGGGCCCGCACAAGCGGUGGAGUAUGUGGUUUAAUUCGAUGCAACGCGAAGAACCUUACCAGGGCUUGACAUCCUGCGAAUCCCUUGGAAACUUGGGAGUGCCUUCGGGAGCGCAGAGACAGGUGGUGCAUGGCUGUCGUCAGCUCGUGUCGUGAGAUGUUGGGUUAAGUCCCGCAACGAGCGCAACCCACGUCUUUAGUUGCCAGCAUUAAGUUGGGCACUCUAGAGAGACCGCCGGUGAUAAACCGGAGGAAGGUGUGGAUGACGUCAAGUCAUCAUGCCCCUUACGUCCUGGGCUACACACGUACUACAAUGCUACGGACAAAGGGCAGCAAACUCGCGAGAGCUAGCAAAUCCCAUAAACCGUGGCUCAGUUCAGGUCGUAGGCUGCAACUCGCCUACGUGAAGGAGGAAUCGCUAGUAAUCGCAGGUCAGCAUACUGCGGUGAAUACGUUCCCGGGCCUUGUACACACCGCCCGUCACACCAUGGAAGUUGGCCACGCCCGAAGUCGUUACUCCAACCCGCAAGGGAGGAGGAUGCCGAAGGUGGGGCUGAUGACUGGGGUGAAGUCGUAACAAGGUAGCCGUACCGGAAGGUG